AGGUAAAAGGUCAUUAAUUAGGAGAAGAUUUAUCUGAAGGAAAUGUAUGAUCUGUGGGUAGUGUGGUCAAAGAUGACUUCUGCAGAUACAAACAUCAUCUUGUAUGCGAGGGCAUGGUGAAAACCUCUGCUAUCAUAUUGGAUACAAGAUCUUUAACUUCUCAGCACCAGUUUUAUGGAGCCCCCACCGCUAAGCAAGUAUGCAAAAUGCAGUGCUGCUUCGCAUUGGGAAAUCCCCAAUCUGGUGCCAAGAGGUUCAUAAAUACAGUAAUGGACCCUCUUAUGUCAAAAGUGAGUACUGUUUAACAGCGUAAGUUGGAACAGCCUUCAGGAUGCUUUGCAGCUGCAGUUGUUCCACUGCAAGACAUCACAAACUUCAUGAUGAUGGUUGUCACACCAGGUCCUGGAAAGGCAACCUACUUCAGUCUGCAAAGUGAACUAAAAGGGAAUGGUUGUUCAUACAUGGCCCUGAUGCCACCGACAUAAGAAACGCAAUGACAGGAGCGAUGAAGUAGGAAUUUGGUGGCAGAUGGUCAGGUCUGCAGGAAGUGUCCACCCAGCUUUGUUUGGCCCAUAUUCUGAAACAACUAGAAUAAACACUUAGUGUCAUAAUUUAUAAGCAUA
This is a long non-coding RNA of Gorilla gorilla gorilla (western lowland gorilla), 623 nucleotides long. RefSeq lists it as uncharacterized. The transcript has 4 exons. The record is from RefSeq and is a predicted model, not a curated record. NCBI's taxonomy places the organism in Eukaryota, Metazoa, Chordata, Mammalia, Primates, Hominidae.